Molecule: ribosomal RNA, 438 nt
Filed under: uncultured bacterium
Lineage: Bacteria
Description: partial 16S ribosomal RNA
Rfam family: Bacterial small subunit ribosomal RNA
Source: RNAcentral
CUACGGGCUGCUGCAGUGAGGAAUAUUGCACAAUGGGGGGAACCCUGAUGCAGCAACGCCGCGUGGAGGAUGACGCAUUUCGGUGUGUAAACUCCUUUUAUAUGUCAAGAAAAUGACGGUAGCAUAUGAAUAAGCACCGGCUAACUCCGUGCCAGCAGCCGCGGUAAUACGGAGGGUGCAGGCGUUACUCGGAAUCACUGGGCGUAAAGGACGCGUAGGCGGGUUGGAAAGUCAGGUGUGAAAUCCUACAGCUUAACUGUAGAACUGCACUUGAAACUUCUAAUCUAGAGUAUGGGAGGGGGAGAUGGAAUUAGUGGUGUAGGGGUAAAAUCCGUAGAUAUCACUAGGAAUACCUAAAGCGAAGGCGAUCUCCUGGAACAUUACUGACGCUAAGGCGUGAAAGCGUGGGGAGCAAACAGGAUUAGAUACCCCGGAGUC